This 457-nucleotide ribosomal RNA is filed under the name uncultured marine archaeon. RNAcentral's name for it is "bacterial SSU rRNA". It matches the Rfam family "Archaeal small subunit ribosomal RNA", at positions 345 to 803 of the family's 1478-position model. The record is from RNAcentral.
AAACUUUGCAAUGUGCGAAAGCACGACAAGGUUAAUCCGAGUGGUUUGUGCUAAACGAACCUUUUGUCGGUCCUAGAAACACCGAUGAAUAAGGGGUGGGCAAGUUCUGGUGUCAGCCGCCGCGGUAAAACCAGCACCUCAAGUGGUCAGGAUGAUUAUUGGGCCUAAAGCAUCCGUAGCCGGCUCUGUAAGUUUUCGGUUAAAUCUGUACGCUCAACGUACAGGCUGCCGGGAAUACUGCAGAGCUAGGGAGUGGGAGAGGUAGACGGUACUCGGUAGGAAGGGGUAAAAUCCUUUGAUCUAUUGAUGACCACCUGUGGCGAAGGCGGUCUACCAGAACACGUCCGACGGUGAGGGAUGAAAGCUGGGGGAGCAAACCGGAUUAGAUACCCGGGUAGUCCCAGCUGUAAACUAUGCAAACUCAGUGAUGCAUUGGCUUGUGGCCAAUGCAGUGCUG